UACAUCGUGAUGAUAGGGAAAGUAUCAUAUCUGUCUUACCCGCAGAGAGUCGGCUAGGGUGAAAACCGACGGAAGACAAAUAUGAGAAAGCCACCCUUGAACUGUAAGCUGAAAAUGAGUAGGCCUUACCGUACCUGGCGUUAACAGGAUCAAGCGAGCCUUGUGGCUAAUUUAGGUGGUACCGCGGGAACUAAUAAUCUCGUCCUUUUC
Molecule: non-coding RNA, 210 nt
Filed under: Sporomusa sphaeroides
Lineage: Bacteria; Bacillati; Bacillota; Negativicutes; Selenomonadales; Sporomusaceae
Description: Sporomusa sp. T-box sequence
Rfam family: T-box leader
About the family: Uncharged tRNA acts as the effector for transcription antitermination of genes in the T-box leader family.
Source: RNAcentral